AAAACCGGCUUAUGACUGCUUCCAGCUGGGGUUCCUGGUGCACUGCCUCAUGGUGAUGGGUCAGCCAGUAUCUGGGACGGGUUCAGAGAUGGGAGGUGUUUUCAGGUCUGCCUCCAUCCCUCUAGAUGGAGAGCACGGUUCUGGAGGAUAUGAAGUCAGCAGACGGGCAGCGAGCUCUGAGGAUGGCAGCACCCAGCUGUGCAUCGUGAGCACCAUCUUGAGAAUGUGGUCCCCUCGGCGCAGGCUGCCAGCCGAGUCUGGAGGAGGAAAGACAGGCUCUCAGCCUGGGCCCUGAACAAUAGACCCUGGCCUCAAGAACUGAGUGGGCAGGCUGGCGGGGUGGCGUACAUGUUUGUUCUACCUUUAAUGCCCUGCAGGAACUUGGGAGCCGUCUCAGGCCAAUGUAUCAGGUUCCCUGGAGCUGGGGUUACUGGUGGAUAUGAACCUUCU
This 450-nucleotide long non-coding RNA is filed under the name Mus spretus (western wild mouse). RNAcentral's name for it is "predicted gene 16282 (ENSMSPG00010051709.1)". Lineage: Eukaryota; Metazoa; Chordata; Mammalia; Rodentia; Muridae. The record is from RNAcentral.